AUGAGGUUUAUUUAUGUUCCAUGUCCACACAAUGCUGAAGUUAUAUGUGAAGAACUACAUGCAUGUCUUGUUAAGUGGCACCUUGAGAAGAAGAUAUCCACGGUGGCCUUGGACAAUUGUGCGUCAAAUGACAAGGCUAUCGAAAUUAUGCCAAAUAAGUUGGACACCUCUUCUCUUAUGAUGGACGGAUCUUUGUUGCAUAUGCAUUGUGCUGCUCAUAUAUUAAAUCAGAUUGUAAAAGAUGGAUUGGAUGUCAUGGAGAAAGGAACUAAGAGGGUACAAGAUAGUGUUGCCUUUUUGUCAGCCACACCUAAAAGACAUGAGAAGUUUGAAAAGAUGGCACGCCUUUUCAACAAUGAAUACAAGUGUAGAUUGGCUCUUGAUUGUAAAACUAGGUGGAAUUCUACCUACAUAAUGUUAAAAGGUGCAUUGCAAUACAAAGAUGUUCUUGAAAGACUUUAUAUACGUGAAAAGAAUUUUACUUGUCCAACCGAAGAAGAUUGGGUCUUUGCUAUGGAGGUUUGUGAUAGGCUGAAAGUGUUCUUUGAUGUCAAAGAGUUGUUGUCGGGCACUCCAUAUGUUACAGCUAGUCUUUUCUUUCCGCAAAUAUGUGGCAUUCGGUUGGCAAUUCGUAAAUGGGAAACUAGUAAACAUAGUGUCAUAAAAGCUAUGUCUAAGGAAAUGAAAGACAAGUUCGAGAAGUAUUGGACAGAUGUCCAUCGUCUUAUGGCUAUUGCCACCAUUGUUGAUCCACAUUGUAAGAUGCAUAUGUUGAAGGCUUCAUUUGGGUCAUCGUAUGGAACUGAACAUAUGCGUCCAUAG
RNAcentral lists this ribosomal RNA (822 nucleotides) under Triticum aestivum (bread wheat). Its description in RNAcentral is "partial small subunit ribosomal RNA". The record is from RNAcentral. Lineage: Eukaryota; Viridiplantae; Streptophyta; Magnoliopsida; Poales; Poaceae.